This is a small nucleolar RNA of Octodon degus (degu), 129 nucleotides long. NCBI's taxonomy places the organism in Eukaryota, Metazoa, Chordata, Mammalia, Rodentia, Octodontidae. The record is from Ensembl.
GGGGUGUGCUCAGAGCAGAGGUUCCGAAGAAUGGCUCCUCUGUUUACAACACACCCAACAGCAACCCAGGGCCGUUGUGAAGAGGGGCACAACCCUUGUGACCUCCCAAUGAGCAAAUGCCCUACACGU